Long non-coding RNA from Eurytemora carolleeae, 2040 nucleotides. RefSeq lists it as uncharacterized. Lineage: Eukaryota; Metazoa; Arthropoda; Copepoda; Calanoida; Temoridae. The record is from RefSeq and is a predicted model, not a curated record. The transcript has 4 exons.
UAAUGUUUGUUUACAUUUAAAGGUUGGGCGAGGUCGAGGAUAUAUUGCUCGUAUACUAAAUGAGAACUGUGGAUUAAUAUGGUGGUAUCUUCAACCAAACCACCUUCAAUCUGUCUGGUUUAAUCAUGCUGCUGUUACCAACAGUCUUUCAAAUACAGACCUUAGGGACAUUUUCAAAAUAGGAGAUGCAGUGAGGUUUACUGCGGCUCGGAGUAGCGAGGCUCCGACCUCUUGGGUCGCCAGAGAGGUCGUCGUAGACCAGGUGGCCUCCGGCAUCUUUGCGUAGAGUUCAUCGGACACCAUUUUAAACAUGAUUAUUUGAAUAUCUUCCGGAGAAACAUCUUUAUUUUUAGUAUCAUUGGAAAAUUGGCCCCGGGGAAAAUACCUCUUUUUACCAAUAUUUGAUAGAAAACUGUUUCUUUUAGUUGAUGUUUAAUUGAUAUCAUUAAAAAAAAUAUUGUACGAUGCAUGUUGUAAAAAAGAGAAAACAGCUACCAAAGGGCUUCUUGAGGGCAUUGGGUGUGGCUUAAAUAUUAGCAGUAUUCGGUUAAAAACGUGAUUUUUCAUCAAAAAUUUCGAUAGGUCAUUGGUAACACACGCGUUUUAAUGCCUGAACGAUCCUUUAAUGAUCUGUAUCUGUAGAACACAUUUUUUGUAAUAUUUGUAAACAAGAAAGUUACGCGUUCACUUGAACAAGUAAUUUCUAACUUGUAAAUCUCAACAACAACAAAAACGUAAAAAUGUAAGAAAUCUCUUUCUUGGUGGUAAUUUCUGUUGUGAACCUAAAAUAAAGAAAAAGCAUUUAUAAUUGAAAAAAGAACCUCGUCAAAAUGUUCGAUGUAAUUUUAUCGAAAAUAUAUUUUCUGUAGUAAUAUAAUCUUUUUAUUCUACUCUAUUCAGUAGCGCAACGGGGGGGGGGUCGCCCCCUCAACAUAUUUGCCUAUCCCUCUCGCCUCCCUCUUCACUCGACUCUUAUGACUAUUGUCAAAUUUUGCCAAUCAAGAAAAAAAUACCAAAAAAAAUUUGACGCUUGCGUAAUAUUUAAAAUAAAAUUCCUCACUAUUUUCUCUUUUUCCACUUGAAGAAUUCAUUCUUUAUAAUAUCCUCUCACAAAAAAAAACUAGAUAUAUCUGACUUAUUCUUUUGAAUUAGAUCGUGAAAACAUCAUUAUUUAAAUUUUUGAUCUUCAUGAAUUUUAGUCAUGUAAUUGACAUCUCAGAAUGCAAUGAUUUAAAUGAAAGAAUUGUUGUCAUAUUGUUUAUACUUUAUGUAGAUAUUUAUUUUCUUGUAUAAUAACAGUCCUGAUCAAAACUAAUAAUAAAAUGGCUGGAACAUCAUUGGAAGGAGUAAAGAUGGAGUUGGAAGAAGAUAAAAUUACCAUUAAAGAAGACAGUGUUCAGUUUAUAUAAAAGAAGACGGUAUCAAGAUGGAAAAUUUUAUCAUCAAAGAAGAAAUAUCUCCUGUGGAAGAUAUGUGUACUGUGUAGUGUCUAUAUUAACGAAGAACACAAAGUUAUCAUCAAAGAAGAAAUGUGUACUAUCUAUUUAAAGGAAGAAGAUAUUAAGAUGGAAAACACAGAAAUUCAAGGUGAAGUGAGAAUUGAAGAUCCACUAGGAGUGAAGUAUCCUUGUAAUCAGUGUGAAUAUUCUGCAACAGAGCUAGGAAGUUAAAAAAAAAAAUAUACGGAGUAUUUAUGAAGGAGUAAGGUAUCCAUGUAAUCAGUGUAAAUAUUCUGCCACAGAGCCAGGAAGUUUAAAAAGACACAUACAGAGUAUCAUGGAAGAGUAAGGAAUCCCUGUAAUCAGUGUGAAUAUUCUGCAACACAGCGAGGAGAUCUGAAAAAACACAAACAACGAAAACAUGCGGAAGUCGGGUAUCCAUGUGAUUUAUGUGAAUACGUUGCAACAACAGCUGUAAAUAUAACCGUACAAAUCAAUCAACAUUCCAAAUAAAACUACACCUGUCUUGUAGUUGUACAACAUGCCAUGAUCAUAUCAAUGUUGAAAAUAUCUACAAAUAUAUAUAUAUUUAUCUUUUCAA